ACCAAGAACUGCUGGUAACUGAACCUCUGAACCUGCUCAUCAUCUGGGUAGUGAAGAAAUAGGUGACGGCAGAUAGGCCAGCCCUUUUGAGCAGCUUCCUGUUUUGCGCAUGCAACAUAAGAGUACAACCAAAGAGACAGCAAGAGGUUGCAGAUUUUGACUUACCUCAUGAGUCCGGAAAACGAUGGUGAAUGCAUUUAGCUCCAUCCAUCUCAAAAGCAGCUCUUCACUUCGAUGAUACUUAAUAAUUGGUAAGUUUAUGGCACAGUAACCUCCAAUAUCACUAUGGUUAAAAGCAUACCCAGAAAGUCCACUGCUCAAUAGGCCAACAACAGAACUCUUUAUCCCAUCAUUAGCUUGCCAGCUUACCAUUUGGUCCCCUUCCCAAAACAGCAUCCCCCAUCUAGGACUAUUCCUGAAACCAGCCCUCAUGAAGAAGACUAAGCCCUCUUCUGGGUCUUCUCUCUCAUUUCCCACAUGAUUACUUUUCCAUUCUUCCACAAAUUCACGAUUUAUUUGAGCCCAUAGUUCUGGGUAUCUGUUAUGAGCAGAAAUAGGAUCUUCACCUGGAAAUGUUGAGUAUAUUAUACUUACUGAUAUAGUUCAACAGGCAAAUGUUAGGAAAAAAGGAGAGGACAGGGUUCAGAAAGAGUUCAUAUGAUUAUCAUGUAAACAUCUGAUGUGUUAAGGGGAUUAUGCUGGCACCUCAUGCCAAUAACUUGCUACUUUAUUGCACUUUGCAAGGAAGGAUGCAAAUGAUUUGACAAUAUUGAACACAGAAUGGUUA
Theobroma cacao (cacao) is the source of this 787-nucleotide non-coding RNA. Lineage: Eukaryota; Viridiplantae; Streptophyta; Magnoliopsida; Malvales; Malvaceae. The record is from RefSeq and is a predicted model, not a curated record.